Molecule: long non-coding RNA, 300 nt
Filed under: Bos taurus (domestic cattle)
Lineage: Eukaryota; Metazoa; Chordata; Mammalia; Artiodactyla; Bovidae
Description: long non-coding RNA NONBTAT005583
Source: RNAcentral
UUCACCUAUCAGCACGGGCUGAUAGAUAUUGGGCUCUAGGUAUAUAAUGCCAAAUGUCCAGGCUGUAUACCUGUGGUGUCUCGGGCCCAGUGGGGACCCACCGAAGCUGAGUUGGCCCUUUGCUGGAUCUUAGCAUAUCUUGACAUGAGGGGGUGGGCUGAAGGGACUGGGGACAUUUUUCCAGCCCUGGAGGAGAGGGAUUCUUUAGCAAAGCAACUCCAGCAACUGGAGAAGUAGGGCUUUGGACAUACAUUCUAGGGCUCUCCUUGCCUUCCUUCUCCUCCCCAAGUUGCACUAGGG